Molecule: long non-coding RNA, 1446 nt
Filed under: Malus domestica (apple)
Lineage: Eukaryota; Viridiplantae; Streptophyta; Magnoliopsida; Rosales; Rosaceae
Description: long non-coding RNA (MDOM_LNC013548)
Source: RNAcentral
GAAUUUGAAGACAUCCACUUCUAUUUCACAACAUAAUCAGCUACUCGUUAUCUUGUUUUUAAUCAAGGGCCAUCCACAAAGUGGUAUUCAAUUAUUUUGAUUUCAUAUAUCUGUUAUAAAUUUUCAAUCAAGGACCAAUCGAAACAACAAAAACGACUAUUAUAAAUAUUCCUAUUGCAAUCCUCGAAGUCAAAUAAGUAGACUUCAAUGCAUGCUUGGUAGUAGUCUCAUUGCUGAUAGGAGCAUAUUUAUGCGCCUUAGUUUAGCUUGUUCUUGUGCAUUUAUAGUGUUUUUCCUUAGUAAAGUAGUCUUUUAAGCUAGUUUUAUGUGAUUUCAGGUUCUAAGGGCAAAAUAUGAAAAAGGAUGCAUUUUGGAGCCUUUUGGAGCAAUUUAGAGCUUGGAAUGGACAUCAUAUGCUUGGAGCCAAGAGGAUGGACGAAAUUGAAGAUUUGAAGAUGAUGUUUCCUAGUUGAAUUAGGAUUCCUAGUCAAAAUGGGUUUCCUAGUUGAAUUAGGAUUCCUUGAAGAUGAAGAUUCCUACUCAAACAAGGUUUCCUACUUGAGGUAGGAAAGUCAAAAUCCAAAUGGUCUCAAGUGAAGCAACAAAGAAGUUUUCCAAGUCCAAGAAGGAAAAGGAGUCCAAGAUGAAGAAGGAAUGACAAAGACAAGGUUUCCUAAUCCUAAUAGGCAAAGUUUCCAAGUGCAAUGAGGAAUCCUUAUCCAUUUAGGGCACCUUAUCCAUUUAGGAUACCUCAUCCUUGUUCUAGAAACCUUAUCCAUCCUUGCCGUGAGUUUUCCUUGCAUUAGAGGGUUUCUAGAAGCCCUAAUCUGCCCUAUCCUUUAGUGCCGCACCUAUCCCUUCUAGAAAACCGAUUUCCUUGCCUUGCAAGGCCAUCUAGAAGCCUUAUCCCUCUAAUCCAUCCCUGCCGCACCUAGGAGGACCUUUCCUACCCAAAAUCUGAUUGUUUUAAGCCCUUUCCUGAUGGGAUUUAAUCCUCCAAGUCCUAAUCUGAUUUGCUAGACUUUUAGGACCCUAUAAAUACAUGGUGCCGCACCCAUUCAUUCACACCACCUCUCAUACACAUUCAUUCAUUCCACAAAUUCAGAAAUUCGUCCAAACACCUCUCCACCCCUUUGCCGCACCAUCCCCAUCCCCUAAACACUACUACAUACAUCCAUAACCAUGCAUCCAUACACCUAAGGUCCUAAACCUGUCCCUAGACCCUUUUCCGCACCAAGGAGGAGGAGAAGGAAGCUGGGAAGUUCAUGCAAUUCAAGUUCGCGUUGCUGGAAUUUCUAGGUGUUUCUUUUCCUUUGAUUUCAAUGUUUAAAUUCAAUUCUCUUUGUUUCGUGCGUAUGAGGAACUAAACCCCCCUUGACUAGGGGGGAUUCGAAAUACAUGUUUAUGCUUGCGAUAUGAUUUGAUUACUUCUAAUUGCGUUUCAUA